UACGGAGGAUGCGAGCGUUAUCCGGAUUUAUUGGGUUUAAAGGGUGCGUAGGCGGACGCUUAAGUCAGCGGUAAAAUUGCGGGGCUCAACCUCGUCGAGCCGUUGAAACUGGGUGUCUUGAGUGGGCGAGAAGUACGCGGAAUGCGUGGUGUAGCGGUGAAAUGCAUAGAUAUCACGCAGAACUCCGAUCGCGAAGGCAGCGUACCGGCGCCCAACUGACGCUGAAGCACGAAGGCGUGGGUAUCGAACAGG
Molecule: ribosomal RNA, 252 nt
Filed under: uncultured bacterium
Lineage: Bacteria
Description: partial 16S ribosomal RNA
Rfam family: Bacterial small subunit ribosomal RNA
Source: RNAcentral